Molecule: ribosomal RNA, 596 nt
Filed under: uncultured Gammaproteobacteria bacterium
Lineage: Bacteria; Pseudomonadati; Pseudomonadota; Gammaproteobacteria
Description: bacterial SSU rRNA
Rfam family: Bacterial small subunit ribosomal RNA
Source: RNAcentral
CAGCACAGCAGUAGCAAUACUGUGGGUGGCGAGUGGCGGACGGGUGAGUAAUGCAUCGGGACCUACCUAGACGUGGGGGAUAACGUAGGGAAACUUACGCUAAUACCGCAUACGUCCUACGGGAGAAAGCAGGGGACCUUCGGGCCUUGCGCGGUUAGACGGACCGAUGUUCGAUUAGCUAGUUGGUAGGGUAAUGGCCUACCAAGGCGACGAUCGAUAGCUGGUCUGAGAGGAUGAUCAGCCACACUGGAACUGAGACACGGUCCAGACUCCUACGGGAGGCAGCAGUGGGGAAUAUUGGACAAUGGGCGCAAGCCUGAUCCAGCAAUGCCGCGUGUGUGAAGAAGGCCUUCGGGUUGUAAAGCACUUUUAUCAGGAGCGAAACGCUGUCGGCUAAUACCCGGCGGAACUGACGGUACCUGAGGAAUAAGCACCGGCUAACUUCGUGCCAGCAGCCGCGGUAAUACGAAGGGUGCAAGCGUUAAUCGGAAUUACUGGGCGUAAAGCGUGCGUAGGCGGUUUGUUAAGUCUGUUGUGAAAUCCCCGGGCUCAACCUGGGAAUGGCAAUGGAUACUGGCAAGCUAGAGUGUGAUAGA